CCCUUUAGACGGGGACAACAUUCCGAAAGGGAUGCUAAUACCGGAUGUGACGCUCCUAUCGCAUGACGGGAGCGUGAAAGAUGGCCUCUACAUGUAAGCUAUCGCUAAAGGAUGGGCCUGCGUCUGAUUAGCUAGUUGGUAGUGUAACGGACAACCAAGGCGAUGAUCAGUAGCCGGUCUGAGAGGAUGAACGGCCACAUUGGGACUGAGACACGGCCCAG
This 221-nucleotide ribosomal RNA is filed under the name uncultured bacterium. Its description in RNAcentral is "partial 16S ribosomal RNA". It matches the Rfam family "Bacterial small subunit ribosomal RNA", at positions 129 to 334 of the family's 1533-position model. The record is from RNAcentral.